This 491-nucleotide long non-coding RNA is filed under the name Mus musculus (house mouse). RNAcentral describes it as "long non-coding RNA chr11:23005750-23006241". The record is from RNAcentral. Lineage: Eukaryota; Metazoa; Chordata; Mammalia; Rodentia; Muridae.
GGAUCAAUCUAUAGAACCCAUCUUGGAAAGUAUUAUGUUUACAGAGUUUUGAUUUAAUCACACCUUAAACUUUAUUAUGCACAUGGGCUUGAGUUAAUUAUCUCCAGGAAAAGUUUGCUGAAUUGUGCUGUACUUAAAUAUGCCUAAAAAAAAAGAAAGAAAAAAAAAAUCUACCUAGUGUCCGAUUCCUAAAGUGUGAACCAACACUGACUUCUGAGUCCUGUUGAAAUGAACUGCUUUCUUACCUCCUCCAAUGUUGCUCUGCUGGCCAUGGUUGCAGAUGGCUCUGCAAUACCAGACAUUGUCUUCUCAUUAGACUAUUUUUAGUUGUGGGUAUGCGUUUUGUAUUUUAGCUUCAUUGAACUACAUGCAGUACUCUUCUGAGGAAAUGACAAAGGGGAGAUUAAUAUUUCUCACGUUCACUAAAACUUGUCAAAUUGUUUGCUUUGGAACAUAAAGUUUUAAUAAAGGAUGCCAGGGUCUCAAUCUCU